UUAUGGCCACAUCACGUUGAAACACCGGUUCCCGUACGAUCAGCUAAGUUAAGCUACGUUGAGACUGGUCAGAACCUAGAUGAGUGACCGCUUGGGAAUACCAGAUGCUGUAGG
This 114-nucleotide ribosomal RNA is filed under the name Acanthosepion pharaonis. Lineage: Eukaryota; Metazoa; Mollusca; Cephalopoda; Sepiida; Sepiidae. The record is from RNAcentral.